UACGGAGGAUGCGAGCGUUAUCCGGAUUUAUUGGGUUUAAAGGGUGCGUAGGCGGCAUUAUAAGUUAGUGGUAAAAUAUUGGGGCUUCACCUCACUACGCCAUUAAUACUGUAGAGCUAGAGAACAGACGAGGUAGGCGGAAUAAGUUAAGUAGCGGUGAAAUGCAUAGAUAUAACUUAGAACACCGAUAGCGAAGGCAGCUUACCAGACUGAGUCUGACGCUGAUGCACGAGAGCAUGGGUAGCGAACAG
This 251-nucleotide ribosomal RNA is filed under the name uncultured bacterium. RNAcentral describes it as "partial 16S ribosomal RNA". It matches the Rfam family "Bacterial small subunit ribosomal RNA", at positions 524 to 775 of the family's 1533-position model. The record is from RNAcentral.